GCAUAACGCGAAGAACCUUACCAGGCCUUGACAUGCAGAGAACUUUCCAGAGAUGGAUUGGUGCCUUCGGGGAACUCUGACACAGGUGCUGCAUGGCUGUCGUCAGCUCGUGUCGUGAGAUGUUGGGUUAAGUCCCGUAACGAGCGCAACCCUUGUCCUUAGUUACCAGCACGUAAUGGUGGGCACUCUAAGGAGACUGCCGGUGACAAACCGGAGGAAGGUGGGGAGUGACGUCAAGUCAUCAUGGCCCUUACGGCCUGGGCUACACACGUGCUACAAUGGUCGGUACAGAGGGUUGCCAAGCCGCGAGGUGGAGCUAAUCCCAUAAAACCGAUCGUAGUCCGGAUCGCAGUCUGCAACUCGACUGCGUGAAGUCGGAAUCGCUAGUAAUCGCGAAUCAGAAUGUCGCGGUGAAUACGUUCCCGGGUCUUGUACACACCGAGUCGUGGGAGGCGAAGGGCACGACAGGGGGGGGAUA
RNAcentral lists this ribosomal RNA (478 nucleotides) under uncultured bacterium. RNAcentral describes it as "bacterial SSU rRNA". It matches the Rfam family "Bacterial small subunit ribosomal RNA", at positions 954 to 1437 of the family's 1533-position model. The record is from RNAcentral.